CUAAAUUGCCUUCCCUUCCCGAACUCGUCCCUCUCCGCCUACAAUCUUCUUCAUGUGGGUCGUUCUCCCAUUCAGCCAUGCAUGGAUAUCCACCCACAAAUGGAAGUCGCGCUGAAUCCCCCGAUGUCGUUGUCUCCGCCAUGACGAAGAGCAGUAGCGGGAGGAGAGUGGCGACGAUAGAGGAAUUGAAGAAAUGAAAGUUCAAAGAAGAUUUCAUCAAUGGACGUGUUUCUGAUCUCAAUUUUGCCUCUCAGAUACGCUUCCUUCUUGACCCCGUCAGAAAAGAUUAGCUUGUUGAUCUCCAAUGUAGUAGCUCAAGAAGAGGAACAUCAGUGUCGAUAGUAGCAAAGAGCCGGCCCAGGUGGUGGCACCGCUAGUGUCGGCGGCUAAGCGGGCCAAGAAGAUGGUGAGGGAUACAGAAGAUGUUGAUUUGGGGAAAAAGAAGGCGACCUAGUUCUUUGGCUCGCAGAUUGGCACCGCCGAGAGUUUCGUGAAGGUUAGGUUUAUGAGCUUUUGACCCUUUCUCACUCCACAUUCCUUGAAACUAGAGAAGUAAUUUCCUUAGAUUUCCUCUAAGACUUGAUUUUUGAGCAAACCUGGGUGGAGGAGGUCAAUGCGAGGUACAAGAAGGUCAUCUUCAAAGUCAUCGAUUUGGAUUUAGGAAACAACAAUUUGUCUGGUGGUAUCACAACUCUCACUAACUACCCAAGUCUCAUUGCCUUCCAGACAACAUUCGGGCAAUGGGUGACAAAACUAUAGCUAGAGAAACAAUGAAAAAAGCUGACUUUCCUACUAUACAUGGAAGUGAUGGACUUGUGCAGUCAACAAAAGAAACUAUGAAGCUUGCCCAUGAAAUUAGUUUUCCUAUCAUGAUCAAGGUUAAAUAAGAAAUUUUCAGUCUAUAUGGUGCAGAUUAUCUCCAUCUAUUGAAACUCUUGAUAACAUUCAAAACUUUGAUCGUGUGCAAGAAGUUUUCCAUGAGCUAGGGUCCUAUGUGUGAUCUUUUGUGGUUUGAUCCUAAUGAUAGAUAUGGUUGCGUCAUGUUGUAGUAAAUAGUUGUUUCUGAAUUGAACUGGAAGUAUAUAUAUUGUAAAUAUUUUAUUU
Long non-coding RNA from Zingiber officinale, 1104 nucleotides. RefSeq lists it as uncharacterized. The record is from RefSeq and is a predicted model, not a curated record. The transcript is spliced from 5 exons. NCBI's taxonomy places the organism in Eukaryota, Viridiplantae, Streptophyta, Magnoliopsida, Zingiberales, Zingiberaceae.